RNAcentral lists this ribosomal RNA (820 nucleotides) under uncultured bacterium. Its description in RNAcentral is "bacterial SSU rRNA". It matches the Rfam family "Bacterial small subunit ribosomal RNA", at positions 8 to 796 of the family's 1533-position model. The record is from RNAcentral.
AGAGUUUGAUCAUGGCUCAGAACGAACGCUGGCGGCGUGCCUGAGACAUGCAAGUCGUGGGAGAAAGUCGGGGCAACUCGGCGAGUAAACCGGCGCACGGGUGAGUAACACGUGGAUAACCUGCCCUGGAGACUGGGAUAACCCGUCGAAAGACGGACUAAUACCAGAUAAGACCACGAACAGUUCGCUGUUCGAGGUAAAAGGUGGCCUCUGCUCCUGCAAGCUAUCACUCCGGGAGGGGUCCGCGGCCUAUCAGCUAGUUGGCGGGGUAAUGGCCCACCAAGGCAAAGACGGGUAGCUGGUCUGAGAGGAUGGUCAGCCACACUGGGACUGAGACACGGCUCAGAGUCCUACGGGAUGCAGCAGUCAGGAAUAUUGCGCAAUGGAGGAAACUCUGACGCAGCGACGCCGCGUGGGUGAUGAAGGCCUUCGGGUCGUAAAGCCCUGUCGGAGGGAAAGAAAAGCUCGCUGGCUAAUAUCCAGCGAGCCCUUGACGGUACCCUCAAAGGAAGCACCGGCUAACUCCGUGCCAGCAGCCGCGGUAAGACGGAGGGUGCAAGCGUUGUUCGGAUUGACUGGGCGUAAAGGGCGUGUAGGCGGUCGGCCAAGUCUGAUGUGAAAGCCCGAGGCUCAGCCUCGGAAGUGCGUCGGAAACUAGUCGGCUGGAGCGCGAUAGAGGAGGGUGGAAUUCCUGGUGUAGCGGUGAAAAUGCGUAGAUAUCAGGAGGAACACCGGCGGCGAAGGCGGCCCUCUGGAUCGUUGCUGACGCUGAGACGCGAAAAGCGUGGGGAGCAAACAGGAUUAGAUACCCCUGUAGUCC